This 253-nucleotide ribosomal RNA is filed under the name uncultured bacterium. RNAcentral describes it as "partial 16S ribosomal RNA". It matches the Rfam family "Bacterial small subunit ribosomal RNA", at positions 524 to 776 of the family's 1533-position model. The record is from RNAcentral.
UACGUAGGGCGCAAGCGUUAUCCGGAAUUAUUGGGCGUAAAGAGCUCGUAGGUGGUUUGUCGCGUUGUUCGUGAAAACCGAAGGCUUAACCUUUGGCGUGCGGGCGAUACGGGCAGACUGGAGUACUGCAGGGGAGACUGGAAUUCCUGGUGUAGCGGUGGAAUGCGCAGAUAUCAGGAGGAACACCGGUGGCGAAGGCGGGUCUCUGGGCAGUAACUGACGCUGAGGAGCGAAAGCGUGGGGAGCGAACAGG